This 445-nucleotide long non-coding RNA is filed under the name Marmota monax (woodchuck). Lineage: Eukaryota; Metazoa; Chordata; Mammalia; Rodentia; Sciuridae. The record is from RNAcentral.
UUUUUUUUUGGUACCAGGCAUUGAAUUCAGGGGCAUUUAAGCACUGAGCAACAUCCGCAUCCCUAUUUUGUAAUCUAUUUAGAGACAGGCUCUCACUGAUUUGCUUAGUCCCUCAACUUGCCCUUGCUGAGGCUGGCUUUCAACUGGAAAUCCUCCCGAAUCAACCUGUGGAGCCACCGCUAGGAUUCCAAGUUGCCUUUUUAUUUGGGGAUUUGGAUUAGGAUCUUCAAAAACUUUUUCAUUUCUUAAUUUUGAGACCGGAGUUUCCAUGUUGGCCAGACUGGCCUCCAACUUGAGGCCUUCCUACCUUGGUCUCCAGCACAGGACUGCUUUCAGGUUUCAUCAGAAGCCUGAAUCUACUCCUCCUUCCUGAGGACACCUGUGCGGGUGGAACUUCAUUUCCACAGGAUCUGGCCCAUUGGAGUGCAGCUCAGUGUUACCGACU